GUGGGGAAUAUUGGACAAUGGGGGGAACCCUGAUCCAGCCAUGCCGCGUGUGUGAAGAAGGCCUUUUGGUUGUAAAGCACUUUAAGCGAGGAGGAGGCUACCGAGAUUAAUACUCUUGGAUAGUGGACGUUACUCGCAGAAUAAGCACCGGCUAACUCUGUGCCAGCAGCCGCGGUAAUACAGAGGGUGCAAGCGUUAAUCGGAUUUACUGGGCGUAAAGCGCGCGUAGGUGGCCAAUUAAGUCUAAUGUGAAAUCCCCGAGCUUAACUUGGGAAGUGCAUUCGAUACUGGUUGGCUAGAGUAUGGGAGAGGAUGGUAGAAUUCCAGGUGUAGCGGUGAAAUGCGUAGAGAUCUGGAGGAAUACCGAUGGCGAAGGCAGCCAUCUGGCCUAAUACUGACACUGAGGUGCGAAAGCAUGGGGAGCAAACAGGAUUAGAAACCCGGGUAGUCC
Molecule: ribosomal RNA, 451 nt
Filed under: uncultured bacterium
Lineage: Bacteria
Description: partial 16S ribosomal RNA
Rfam family: Bacterial small subunit ribosomal RNA
Source: RNAcentral